GGUCAUUAAAAUAAAAAAUGCUGAAUUAAAAGAAUUCUAGUAAAAAUGAUGAGUUUUAUUUCUACGAUGAAGUAGAAUUUAAAUACUCUAUGGUAGAUUAUUUUCUCCAGUGGCCCAAAUAGUGACAUUGGUUUUCAAAAUUGUAUCAAUUUGUGCCACUUAAUGUUGAUGGCUUUUCUGUAUAUAAAUCUGAACAUUAGGUAAGAAUAUUAGAUAUUAUGAUAAAUUUUGACAGGUAAAGAAGGUCACU
Molecule: long non-coding RNA, 250 nt
Filed under: Homo sapiens (human)
Lineage: Eukaryota; Metazoa; Chordata; Mammalia; Primates; Hominidae
Description: HSALNT0209629
Source: RNAcentral